AGAGUUUGAUCCUGGCUCAGAUUGAACGCUGGCGGCAUGCCUUACACAUGCAAGUCGAACGGCAGCACGGGGGCAACCCUGGUGGCGAGUGGCGAACGGGUGAGUAAUAUAUCGGAACGUACCCAGUAGUGGGGGAUAACUAUCCGAAAGGAUAGCUAAUACCGCAUACGAUCUGUGGAUGAAAGCAGGGGAUCUUCGGACCUUGUGCUAUUGGAAUGGCCGAUAUCUGAUUAGCUAGUUGGUAGGGUAAAAGCCUACCAAGGCGACGAUCAGUAGCUGGUCUGAGAGGACGACCAGCCACACUGGAACUGAGACACGGUCCAGACUCCUACGGGAGGCAGCAGUGGGGAAUUUUGGACAAUGGGGGCAA
RNAcentral lists this ribosomal RNA (370 nucleotides) under uncultured bacterium. Its description in RNAcentral is "bacterial SSU rRNA". It matches the Rfam family "Bacterial small subunit ribosomal RNA", at positions 8 to 380 of the family's 1533-position model. The record is from RNAcentral.